This is a long non-coding RNA of Vespula pensylvanica (western yellowjacket), 2114 nucleotides long. RefSeq lists it as uncharacterized. NCBI's taxonomy places the organism in Eukaryota, Metazoa, Arthropoda, Insecta, Hymenoptera, Vespidae. The record is from RefSeq and is a predicted model, not a curated record. The transcript has 2 exons.
UUAAGAAUCAUACCGACCUUAUUGUGUAUUUUUUUAAAAAUUUCUAUUCAAUAAUUCCUAAGAUAAAAAAUUUCAUUUUUAAUGAAACUAAAGCAAAUAUAAUUUCAAUGUUAUAUUAGUAUUGCAAGCAGAAGCAUAUUGUGAAAACCAAUAUCAAAGUUUUGAUCGAAUAUUAAUUAAAGUAUCUAUUACUUUCUAUUCAUUAAGUAGAAAAUGAACAUGUCGUACAAGUUGUAGUUUUCUGUAACAUUUAAAUAAGAAACAUAAUACAAAUAAUUAUAUUUAAAAAUGUGAAACAAUAUAAUUCGAUUAUAUUCGUUGUUACAUUUAAUUUGGAUAGAUUAUCAUUUCUUAGUCUCGAAUUUUCGUUUGUGAUGUAUAAAAGUUGUUCUGUUCGUAAAAAUAUAUAUUCUUAUAUAAUUUAAACUAUGAUUUUUAAUCUCAAAUUCAUACUGCGAAUAUAUUUGUAUCAACAAUUUUCUAAUGUUCUAAUGGGGAAAAAAAAAGAAAAAAAAAAAAAGGAAAAUUAUCAAAAACAUACCAACUUUGAACUUGAUUUUACGUGAAUAUUUACAAGACUGACAGGUGCCCCUAUACUAUAAAUCAUAAUAUACAAAUUGUUAUAUCAGUUUUACAUAAAUAAGAUGAUUCAUUCCACCGGCAGUAGCAAAACUCUUCGCAAUCGUUUUACAAUAAAUAAUGCAUAUAUAUACGUCCUAGAAAAAAAAGAAAGGAAAAAAAAAAAAGAAAACAACAACAACAUUGCGAGUGUGCCUACAUUAUAAUUUGAAAGUAUAAAAACAAAAGCAACUCGUUGUCGCCCGUUAAUUAUUUAAGUUCGAAAAUAAUUUUUUUUACUUUCGAGGAAUUUCAAAAUUACUAGCGCCUUGGCGCCAAAACUUAUUGUCCAUAUCGUUGGUGAAUAGACGUACAUAUUAAAUAAAAUUAUUUUCGAUUUGAAGUACUUGUAUGUGCAUAUAAUAUUUCCUUAAAGAAAAAGGAAGAGAAAGAUACAGAGAGAGAGAGAGAGAGAGAGAGAGAAGUGGGGGAGAAAGAGAGAGAGCAAAAGAAAUAAAUAAAGAAGGAGAUGUUGAAGAAGAGAUUAACAACGUUUAUGGAUGUAACAGAUUUUUGGUACACGCUUUGGUACGACUAAAGCAGGAUACAUACAUACAUCCUUUAAACACGAAUCCCGUGCCUUCUGUGCCUCUGCAUUUUAUCACAAUUUCACAUUACACGGAAAAAAGAAUGAUGUGAAAAGUGAAACACGUUAUAGAUAACCGAUGGAAUAUCGUAAGACAAAAAGUACGAUAAUGGACGAUGGAAUAAGAAGUAUAAAAGAAGUAUCGAAACUUAUUUAAUCAACGAUCGUUCCAAUGAUCGUCGUUCAAUGAAGCACGGAGUGACAAUCGGUUAAAAGAAAAAAAUGGCCGAUCGUGCUAUCGAAGACGUUCAAUAAUAAAAUAAAUUACAAUUGCAAGACACCUCCCCUUCUCCAUUAAAAUUCUUUAUGAUUGAAACGCACUCUUUUGCGUUUAUUAUAGUUAUGUGAACGGAAAGACAAAAAAACACAAAAAAGAAACAAAUAAAUAAGCAACGUGUUUUAAUUAUUUCUAAUUUCUUAAGUGCGCCUUUCAAUUACAUUAUUGAUCGGCCAUCGUAAUUAUGAAUACGAAUACGAGUUUGUGCAUUGUAAAAAAUUUGCGAAUUUAGUUGGCUGUAUGUGUUUAAUAUAUGUUCUAAUAUUCUCACUGCGAUGUCAUUGUGCUUAUUAUAUAAAUGCUUGUUACAUAAUUGUUCACAGAAAACAUUAUACGGCCAUUAAGAUGAGAAUACGAUAUUACUUAUGCGGUUUAACAAUGUAUUUACAUGUGCACUGAUACACACUACUCUUUUUAUUUUGUUUCGAAACUACCGCUAAAUAUCGAUACAUGUUAACCAGCAUAUGUGAUAUACGUCUCUAUGUGCAUAUUUAUAAAAACCACGAAUUUUGCUUUUGACAAAGCAGCUCUGCGAUGUACAAAAAUGCCAAUAUCAAUAUAACAUAUGUACAUAAUGCAACACAAAACUAUAUUGCUAAUAAUAAAUAUUCAAAUAUGUUUGCUCUCCCGUAA